CAUGGGGCGAAAAAUUAUAAAAUGACCCGUGAACCAGUUAGGGUACAUCAUCUGGGUGUUCAUAUGCCAAGAAUCACUGGCCGCGGAUUUAGCUUUUGUUAGAUAGCAGGUGCCCGCGAUACCUGCCGCCAGCACUCACUUGUUGUAGUGUUAGAUCACUCUCCACACAUCACCACAAACCUCCCCUUUCGACGCCGAGAACAUCGAAAGCUCCUCCACAAUGUUCAGCUCUAUUAUACCUAUGAUUGUUGGUUUGCUUGUGAUGGUAUGCGCGUUUGCUGCGAUGAUAGUCGCCGCGGAUGAGUGUACAAGGCAAGGACAAGGGCAAAGAUAAUCCCGGAUGAUGCUAUACAACCACACCAAAACAAACCUGUACAAGAACUGCCUUUUACACACCUCCACAUGACUUUACUAACGAUGACAGCUGAGGACGAACAAGUCGCACGGACAACACGCUGGAAAAGCAUUAACUUUUUUGGCGAUUUCUUUUAUGGGUUUGGAAUUGUCAACGUUGUGGACGCAACACAAUUUUAAAACGUCAACGACGAAAGUAGUCAUCAAUGAACAAGACAAUAUACUUCCCUGACAAUAACUACCUGGCGAUUUCUCGGCGUUUAGUACAAUAAUAUUAGCGUUAGUUAGGAGAUUAAAACAAACCAUUCAAAUGUUGAAAGAGAUAUACUUUCAUUAAAAUGAUGUACGGCAAAAA
Molecule: long non-coding RNA, 709 nt
Organism: Nematostella vectensis (starlet sea anemone)
Lineage: Eukaryota; Metazoa; Cnidaria; Anthozoa; Actiniaria; Edwardsiidae
Exons: 2
Source: RefSeq, a predicted model, not a curated record